AACGAACGCUGGCGGCAUGCCUAACACAUGCAAGUCGAACGAGACCUUCGGGUCUAGUGGCGCACGGGUGCGUAACGCGUGGGAACCUUCCCUUAUGUUCGGAAUAACUCCCCGAAAGGGGUGCUAAUACCGGAUAAUGUCUUCGGACCAAAGAUUUAUCGCCUUUGGAUGGUCCCGCGUUGGAUUAGCUCGUUGUUAGGGUAAAAGCCUACCAAGGCGACGAUCCAUAGCUGGUCUGAGAGAAUGAUCAGCCACACUGGGACUGAGACACGGCCCAGACUCCUACGGGAGGCAGCAGUGGGGAAUAGUGGACAAUGGGCGAAAGCCUGAUGCAGCAAUGCCGCGUGAGUGAUGAAGGCAUUAGGGUUGUAAAGCUCUUUUACCCGGGAUGAUAAUGACAGUACCGGGAGAAUAAGCUCCGGCUAACUCCGUG
This 433-nucleotide ribosomal RNA is filed under the name uncultured bacterium. RNAcentral's name for it is "partial 16S ribosomal RNA". It matches the Rfam family "Bacterial small subunit ribosomal RNA", at positions 29 to 507 of the family's 1533-position model. The record is from RNAcentral.